GGAUUUUUACAACACCUUGCGUUCUUUUCAACGUCCAAUCAGGUGAUGUGGAGGAGUUCACCCGGGUCCCAGUGGAUGAGAAUCUCCAGCUGGUGGAAAACUUGUUUCCACAACAUCUGGACUUUCUGGAGCUGAGUUUCACCCCUGGAGACUCCGUCGCCGUCGUGAGGACCAAGAAGCCGCUGGACGCUGACACCCAGUGGCUGCAAAACAAUUCUCGGAUUCUUCACAUCACUGACGUAAAAGGAUAACGGCCCAGUUUUUGAAAAGAAGCGUCACCAGGUAACACUGUCGGAGACUUUGCCGGUGGGGUCCGGCGUGCUCCAGGCUUCCGCAAGCGAUGCAGAUGUUACGUUGGAGAACAACAAAGUGUCAUACUCUUUUCUGGUGAGCGUUUCAAGUGACCAUCCAUCAGACGACGUCCUCUAAGCACUCGGAGAACCGUCAUAGUGUAGCCGACCGUCAAUCCCUCUUGUGGCAGCGAAUCUUCAGACAGGCACCUUCAGGUCUUUCAAAGAGCCGCCCUGAGCUGCUGCCCCCACCUCUGAUUCGGUCCCUGGGGGGCCGGUCGCACUUUGACUUCCGUUUGUUUACGCGCGGGACUGAAAUCUACCUUCUUGGUUUUUCCGUGUAUCCAAAGCCCACGGAACCAAGUGACCUUGAGCUGAGGGAUGACGGAACCAUAGUGUUGAAGAGACUGUUGGACUACAACAUCACAAGAGGCUACAGGUUCACUGUGGAAGCUCAGGACCCGGAGGGUCUGAACGCCCCGACCACGGUGGAUGCAACGGUGGAAGACGUUGACAACGUGAACCCAUAUUUUAAUCAGAACGUGUACAACGCUGCCAUCAAAGAGAACCAGGUGAGUCUCAGGUCC
RNAcentral lists this long non-coding RNA (877 nucleotides) under Scleropages formosus (Asian bonytongue). RNAcentral's name for it is "lncRNA (ENSSFOG00015033130.1)". Lineage: Eukaryota; Metazoa; Chordata; Actinopteri; Osteoglossiformes; Osteoglossidae. The record is from RNAcentral.